RNAcentral lists this ribosomal RNA (376 nucleotides) under uncultured Serratia sp. Its description in RNAcentral is "bacterial SSU rRNA". It matches the Rfam family "Bacterial small subunit ribosomal RNA", at positions 521 to 896 of the family's 1533-position model. Lineage: Bacteria; Pseudomonadati; Pseudomonadota; Gammaproteobacteria; Enterobacterales; Yersiniaceae. The record is from RNAcentral.
UAAUACGGAGGGUGCAAGCGUUAAUCGGAAUUACUGGGCGUAAAGCGCACGCAGGCGGUUUGUUAAGUCAGAUGUGAAAUCCCCGGGCUCAACCUGGGAACUGCAUUUGAAACUGGCAAGCUAGAGUCUCGUAGAGGGGGUAGAAUUCCAGGUGUAGCGGUGAAAUGCGUAGAGAUCUGGAGGAAUACCGGUGGCGAAGGCGGCCCCCUGGACGAAGACUGACGCUCAGGUGCGAAAGCGUGGGGAGCAAACAGGAUUAGAUACCCUGGUAGUCCACGCUGUAAACGAUGUCGAUUUGGAGGUUGUGCCCUUGAGGCGUGGCUUCCGGAGCUAACGCGUUAAAUCGACCGCCGUGGGGAGUACGGCCGCAAGGUUA